CACCGGGCUUUGCCCCCUCGCACCGCCUUCGCGGAAGCCGCCGGGCCCACCGAGCCCUCCUGAGCCCCGGCCUCACACGCUCUCCCCUCUGCCGGGAUAACUGCAGCCCAUCUUGAUCAGUAAACCAAGACACAGAAAGACUGACUCAUGCGAUUGAGAUCACAACAGCUAGCCAGCCUUAGAACCAGAAUGUGGUUUGGCACCUCAGUGCCAGCCAGUCACAGCAAACUUCUCUGACUUUGGUUUUCCCUUUGGACAGCAAGUCCCCGUGGACCCUGCAAUCUCAGCACAGCCAUCCCUUGAAUUAGGGCUUCAAGUCACAAGAAGUCGCAAACACAACUGAAGGCAACAACUGAAGAUCAUGAUGAAUUAUUAAAGUCUCCUUCCUGUUCAUUACGAAUAUCAUAAUAUUAUCCUCACAACCAUCGUCAGUCAUCAUGUAUCAGCCCAGAAGGAGUUUUGGUGUCACAUGUUUUUCCCUGACUUUUAAAAACUUGAAAUAAAA
Molecule: long non-coding RNA, 505 nt
Organism: Choloepus didactylus (southern two-toed sloth)
Lineage: Eukaryota; Metazoa; Chordata; Mammalia; Pilosa; Megalonychidae
Exons: 3
Source: RefSeq, a predicted model, not a curated record